UACAGAUGUUGAUGUCCGGAGUAAUC
This 26-nucleotide small RNA is filed under the name Bombyx mori (domestic silkworm). RNAcentral's name for it is "ovarian small RNA-20269". The record is from RNAcentral. Lineage: Eukaryota; Metazoa; Arthropoda; Insecta; Lepidoptera; Bombycidae.